CCUGGGAGGCAGAGGUUACAGUGAGCCAAGAUUGUGCCACUGCACUCUAGCCUGGGCGACAGAGUGAGACUCCGUCUCAAAAAAAAAAAAAAAAGUCUCCAGACAUUGCCAUAUUCCAGUUGAGAAAUACUAAUAUAAGAGUAUCUGUCUAGGAUGUUUGUGAGGAGACUCUUGAAGUCGUUGUGUUUAGGUGUUUCAUAUUGAGAUAGUCAUAUUUUCCAGAAAAUAGCCCUGUCAUUUACCUUGCCUGAAGGAUAAAGUGCAGGAAGAGAGCAGGGAGCCCGAGUAGUCAAUACACAUACCUUCACUUAUUCUCCCUACUUUAAGUACUUCAUGCCCGCCCUCAACUGUGCCUGGUGUUCCUUCACCCAGAAACCAUCUUUUUUCCCCUCUCUGGAACCUAAACCUGUAGACAUUGGCCAAAGUGUGGGAGGAGCAAUCAACCAGUGAUAUAAAGUGGGGGAAAGGAGAAAUCCAGGAAUUCACCUGACUCUCAAACAACCUUCAUUCAACCAGUCUUCCUUAAUCCAACAUCCCAGUUCACGCCACUUCUAGAGAUCUCAUCAACUCUUGAGCAUUUUGACAAUUCUGGAGUGCAUAUUGAAUUUGUUCUUGUAUUUACUUAAUGUCCAUUUACAACUUGGUUUUUCAAGCCUGCCACCCUCCAAAAUUUGGCUCCUUUGAUAUCUUUUUUCACAUCGUUGUCCUUAGAGUUUAUGCUAGCCCCACACCCCCCAACAAGCAUUUUAUAUAGUUUUAGUGGGAACCCUUGGGAAGGAUAAAAAUUAAAUGUGUUUUGGCUGAGUGCUGUGGUUCACGCCUGUAAUCCCAACACUUUGGGAGGCUGAAGCAGGCAGAUCACUUUAGGUCAGGAGUUUGAGACCAGCCUGGCCAACAUGGCGAAACCCCAUCUCUAUUAAAAAUACAAAAUUAACGGAACAUGAUGUUUCACGCCUGUAGUCCCAGCUACUCGGGAGGCGGAGGCAAGAGAAUUGCUUGAACCUUGGAGACAAAGGUUACAGUGAGCUGAAAUCGUGCCACUGCACUCCAGCCUGAGCAACAGAAAGAGACUCUGUCUCAAAAAAAUAAAAAAAAAAAUACGCCAGGCACUGGCUCACGUGUGUAGUCCCAGCACUUUGGGAGGCUGAAGUGGGCAGAUCACUUGAGGUCAGGAGUUUGAAACAAGUGUGACCAACAUGGUGAAACCCCAUCUCUACUAAAAAUACAUAAAUUAGCCGGGUGUGGUGGCACACGCCUGUAAUCCCAGCUACUCAGGAGGCUGAGGCAGGAGAAUCACUUGAACCCAGGAGGCAGAGGUUUCAGUGAGCCGAGAUCACACCACUGCACUCCAGCCUGGGCAACAGAGUGAGAGUCUGUCUCAAAUAAAUAAAUUAAUUAAUUAAAUUAAAAUAAAGGGUGUAGGCAUGUAUCAGUUCUAUAAAAAAAAAAAAAAAAGUCUAUUUCAUUCUCUUUUUCCAGAAGUGUCAAUUUCAUAUGCUUUUGAGACUUUUGUCACAUUUCCAGUGGUUGCCAGACAUUGACUGUUACUUUGGAUUGUAGGUUGUCAGGUGGAAGGUGAUAGAUAUAACCUUCCUUCAUUUUCUUCCCAUCCUUCCUAAUGUGUGGCCUAUAGAUAAUAUUACAAUUAGACUUUGACACAGAAAGGAGAUACUCUAAUUAGUAGAAGAAGUAGUGGGGACAAAAACAAGCAAAGGCAUGGAGGUGGGAAUAGAGAGUGAGAUAUAACAGAGGAUAUAGGACAUUAACCUGAUUGAAGUUGAAGUUCAUGUUGAAGGGUCAUGGGAGAUAUGAAUAUAAUAAAUAGAUUAGGUGGGACCAGAUUACGACACCUAAAAUACUGGAUCGAAUAACUCAGAUUGGAUCUGGGAAAUAAUAGGAAAGUACUGUGGACUUUUUUUGUUGUUGUUUGUUUUUUUAGAUGGAGUCUUGCUCUGUUGCCAGGCUGGAGCGCAGUGGCAUGAUCUCAGCUCACUGCAACUUCCACCUCCUGGGUUCAAGCAAUUCUCCUGCCUCAGCCUCCUGAGUAUCUGGGACUACAGGUGCACGCCACCAGCUAAUUUUUGUAUUUUUAGAAGAGACGGAGUUUCACCAUGUUAGCCAGGAUAGUCUCAAUCUCGACCUCGUGAUCCACACACCUUGGCUUCCCAAAGUGCUGGGAUUACAGGCGUGAGCCACUGUGCCCAGCUGGACUUUUCAUCUGAGAAAUAAUCUGAUGAAAGUAGGUUUAAUCUAAUAGCUCUGACAACAGAUGGACAAGAAUAGGGAGAGAGUAGAGUCAAAGCAAUUUUAUAGGAGACUGUGGGUGAAAUCCAUAUAGGAGUGAUAAGGUACUAGGCCAUAGUGGACUAGGUGGGCAUGGAAAGGACAGAUCAAAAAGUCAUGGAUGGCAGGCGGAGUGUUUUGGGCCUAUAAUCCCAGCACUUUGGGAGGCUGAGGCAGGAGGAUUGCUUGAGCCCAGGAGUUUGAGGCCAGCCUGGGCUACACAGGGAGACUCCAUUUAUACAAAAAAUUAAAAAAUUAGCCCAGCAUGGUGGCACGCUCCUGUGUUCCCAGCUACCCAGGAGGCUGAGGUGAGAGGAUUGCUUGAGCACAGGAGGUUAAGGCUGCAGUGAGCCAUGAUUGCACUGUUGCACUCCAGCCUGGGUGACAGUGCACAACCCUGUCUCAAGGAAAAAAAAGAAAAAGAAAAAGUCAUUGAUAGCCAGGCCUGGUGGCUCAUGCCUGCAAUUCCAGCACUUUAGGAAGCCAAGGUAGGAGGAUCACUUGAGCCCAAGAAUUCAAGACCAGCCUGGGCAACAUAGUGAAACCUAAUCUUUGUUUGUUUGUUUGUUUGUUUUAAAGGCAUUGACAGGGAAAUUUUUAUUGGAUUUGUUACCUCCAGCCAAUAUAGAAGUUAAAUAGAUGUCAGCCAAGCCUAUGGAAGCUUGUGUUGGAUGACAAAUCUAAACAUGAAAUAAAAUGUUUCAUGGCUUGUUUCUGUGGCAACUAACGAAUGUUAGAUGUGGCAAGAAUUGUGCCCAGUAGAGCAUCACAUGAUUCUGGAGUGCAUAUUGGAAAGUCAGUUAUUCAUUAGAGAGGCCCACUCAAGGCAACUCAAGAAAAGGGAAAGAGAAGCUUUUGUAAAUCCGCAGAGCGAUCUUUCUGGAAUGUAAGGAUUCCUGAAUAGGAACAACUGGCCUUCUUCAAUUGUAGAACUGGAAACUAUCAGGGGAACCAGCCCCCAGUGUUUCAGUAUAGGUUCUUUUCUAUUUUCCCUAAGUGUCAGCCAGUGUGAGAAAUAAAGAGAAAGAGUACAAAGAGAGAAAUUUUACAGCUGGGCCUCCGGGAGUGCCAUCACAUAUUGGUAGGACCGUGAUGGUGACCUUGAGCCGCAAAACCAGCAAGUUUUUAUUAGGGGUUUUAGAAGGGGAGAGAGUGUACGAAUAGGGAGUGUGUCACAGAGAUCACAUGCUUCAAAAGGUAAUAAAAGAUCACAAGGCAAAUGGCAGAGCAAGAUCACAAGGACAGGGCAAAAUUAGAAUUACUGAUGAGGUUCCAUGUCCUGCUGGGCAUGCAUUGUCAUUGAUAAACAUCUUAACAGGAAACAGGGUUCAAGAGCAGACAGCCAGUCUGACUAGAAUUCGCCAGGCUGGAAUUUCCUAAUCCUAGCAAGCCUGAGGGCACUGCAGGAGACCAGGGUGUAUUUCAUCCCUUAUCUUCAACUGCAUAAGACAGACACUCCCAGAGCGGCUAUUUUAGAGACCUCCCCCUGGGAAUGCAUUCCUUUCCCAGGGUUAUUCCUUGCUGGGAAAAGAAUUCAGUGAUAUUUCUCCUAUUGGCUUUCUGCAGGAAGAGAAAUAUGACUCUGUUCUGCCCGGCCUCACAGGCAGUCAGACCUUAUGGUUAUCUCCCUUGUUCCCUGAAAAUCACUGUUAUCCUGUUCUUUUUUAGGAUGCCCAGAUUUCAUAUUAUUCAAACAUAUGUGUUUUACAAACAAUUUGUGCAGUUAAUGCAAUCAUCACAGGGUCCUGAGGCGACAUACAUCCUCAGCUUACAAAGAUGAUGGGAUUAAGAGAUUAAAGUAAAGACAGGCAUAGGAAAUUAUAAGAGUAUUGAUUGGGGAAGUGAUAAAUGUCCAUGAAAUCUUCACAGUUUAUGUUCAGAGAUUGCAGUAAAGACAGGCAUAAGAAAUUAUAAAAGUAUUAAUUUGGGGAACUAAUAAAUGUCCAUGAAAUCUUCACAAUUUAUGUUCUGCUGUGGCUUCAGCUGGUCCCUCUGUUCGGGGUCCCUGACUUCCCGCAACAGGAAACACUUUCAUAAUAUUGCUUGUGCUUUUUCAUUGAACACAUCUUGUACAAGGCCCCCUAGAGGCUCUUCCAGGCCUUGAGGCCACAUGACCCUUCUGGCUGCCUCUCUGCCUGCAUUUUCCCUCUUGCUUUCAGUUCAGAUGACUGAAAGAGAACUAGGGCCCAGCUCCACUUUUCAAGACAGGGUGCAAGUUACACAUAACUGAGUGGCCAACUACGGCAGGGGAUAGGUUGUGGGGAUGGUGGGGUGGGGGGCUUACAAAGCAAUGUUUAUUCAGCAGGGACCAUGCAUAUGGCAGGAAAAUGUACCUACCCAGCCCCAAAUGAAACAUUUGCUUAGUUAGAAAGGAAACUGGAACUUUUUGGUGUACAACCUUAACUUUUGAAAUUGGUAUCAGGUACAGAAUCCCCAUGUUACCUCACAAAGCCACAGUCCAGGUGAAAGUGUGAAAAGACUAUGGGAUUGGCUUACUGUGGUUAUUCCUGUGGUUUAUACCUCAAACUAACAAUUCUCCCUGAAUCCCACAUCAAGUCUGCUGCCUGCUGAGUCAUCUGGCCUCUUUGACAGCACCCAUCAGUCUUUAUACAGGCUUCCUUAUAUAAUAUUUAUAAAGAAAGGGGCUGGGCACGGUGGCUCACGCCUGUAAUCCCAGCACUCUGGGAGGCCAAGGUGGGUGGAUCACGAGGUCAGGAGAUUGAGACCAUCCUGGGUAACACGGUGAAACCCCGUCUCUACUAAAAAUACAAAAAAAUUAGCAGGGUGUGGUGGCGGGCGCCUGUAGUCCCAGCUACUCAGGAGGCUGAGGCAGGAGAAUGGCGUGGACACAGGAGGCAGAGCUUGCAGUGAGCCGAGAUUGCGCCACUGCACUCCAGCCUGGGAGACAGAGCAAGACUCUGUCUCAAAAAAAAAAAAAAAAAAAAAGAAAGGGUGCAAUUUGCAGGCCAGUGGACUAAUGCACCCUCACCAUAUAGCCCCACAGAAAUCGGUCUGCCAUGGAGCUCUAAAGAACUCAUAAUUUCUCCAAAAGGACCAUCUUUCUACACCUAUGCGAUUGUUCAAGAUCAAGGGUCAGCAAACUGUGGUCCACAGGCCAGUUGCAUAUUUAUGCACAUAAAGUUUUAUUGGAACAUAGCCAUAGCCAUUUAUUCACAUAGUGUGUAUGGCUGCUUUUGUGUACAAUGGCAGAGUUGCAAAGCCUAAAAUAUUUACUGCUUGGCCCUUCAAGAAAAAGUUUCCUGACCCCUGUUUUAGUUAGUUCUGGAAUGAUGAGCAUGUGUGGAAAAUCCUCGGGUUGAUGCAGAAGCUUAGUGGCUGCACAGUAGUGAUACAUUGUUUUCCCAGGCUAUUUUAUUGUUUCUUAAUUUCUUAAUCACUUUGUGGAUUAAAUUCAUGGCCAGAAGUAACUCAGACAUCUCUAAGGAUUGUCCUAUUGGCAUAAGCUAAAGCACGUAUUAUUCUACAUUCAUGGAUUAAAAUAUUAAGUAAUUUGAUCUAGAUGAUUGUUUACAGUUUAACGCAAAUGCACUUAGUCUGUUCUGAUUAUUUACUCAAGGAUUAUGUUACUACAUUCUCUCAAGAAUAAUAGUAUGUAAUCAUUUCCUGUGGGAUCUGCAAUGUUUGGGCCUUCCUUCAAAUUCAGUUCUCUGAUUUGUUUCCAUGACAUGGAGUUGGCCUUUAGGUUAUGUGAUUGAGGUUCCUCAAACAGGAUGUUAAUUUUCCACUCUUCGUGGCAGGAGAAAUAUAGUCUAAUCUCACGAUUUAGUGAGCCAAAGAGCUGUAUCUCUUUUCACACUAUCCUUCUUUUAUAAAAUAAAUGUUAAUUUUGUUUCUUUGUGCAUCUUUUGGAACAAACUUGUAUUUUCAAAGUGCUCACCCCAUACUCAGGUUAGCAUACUUUCUAAGGCAGCCCAUUUGGAACAAAUGAGCUUUAGCCAAGAGUUUAAUGAUAAAAAUAUAUUGCUUGCAAAAGCUCUAAUUUAGCACUCUGGUGCCUCCUACAUGGUUUUGCCAACAAACUCAUCUUUGCCUGAAAUAUAGGCUCUUCGAAGGCAGCUGCCACUCUCUCUUCAAGAUGCGAGAGGGAAGAGAGCUUGAGGCUUUUCAUUGUGAAGGACCCUCCACCCCCGUGUUCCUCCUACAGGCUCCUGAUUCACACAGCACAAGUUGAGAAACAGGGAAAUGGAAUCUUCUUGCCCAGGCAUGCAGCAGCUAACUCCUUUGAAUCAGAAAAAUGUGUGUUCAUAAUCACCAAGUUUGAAAUGCAGAGCCAUCACUGCUGCUGGAAAUCUGAGGCUGGUUCAGAGCCAGACCAGCUGCUCCUGGGGCCCUCUUCUACUUAAGAGGCAGUCUAGUCUGUGGCCUCGCCUGUUCAAGGUUGCUUUUUCCCCAGAGCCCUGGUACUCCCUCUGUCAAGUUUCCACUUAUCUUUCUGGCCUAUCCAGGAACCCUUCUCUGAGUUCUCAAGGACUGGCUAGGUGUCCUGCCUCACAGUCACCUACAACCUGCAUUUUCCUCAUCAUAACUUUGAAAUUGCUACUUUGCCUAUCUUCGCAUGGGCUUUUCCUCCAACUACACUGUGAGAGCCUUAAAUCCAGAAACCAUGUCUUUUUUUUUUUUCAAAGAGACUGUUAGAUGAAUUUGCCAGGACUAAAAUACAGAGUUCCUUGUUCCCUGUAUAUAGCCCACUAUAGAAAUUCAAUGGUUUUUGAAUGAAAGGAUAAAUGAGUGAAUGAAGGGACUUCGGAUCUGGCUGGGGCAGAGACUGUGGAGCUAGAAACUUAGGUUGCUUUCCCUUUCUUCCCUUCCCAUCCCUCCUCUUCCAAAACCCAAGUCUGACAGGCUGCGAAGCACCUCUAUAUACGACUGAUGGAGCUUUAAUUGUUCACCGAAUCUUUAGAAAAGAUCCUUUUAAUUCAGCACUGUGCCCGAAGUCCAGGCACUUAGCUCUGGAUGCCCGACUGCAGAAAAUACCAACAGCCAGUAGAAAAACUGCACCAAUGCUGGGGGUCCUAUUUUAAUUAUUCUAGAAAAAUUCACUUUUUGCUCAGUCUUUGGUUUCAUUUGGGGCUGACCUCCUUUCUUGCAGGCCCUAGAUUCGUGAAAUCUGUAUUAAUCAGCAGAAUAAUAUUAGCCAAUUCCUUACCUCGUUUUUCCUUCCCCUCAUUUGGACAGCUAGCCUGGUUUGUACUCCUUAUCUCAGAGAUGAGAUGUGAUAAUAAGAGGCAGAUAAAUAAAAGUAUGUUCCUGGCUUUUGGAUUCAGAAGUUGCCCUUAUGGGAAGGAAAAAACAAACAAAUGUGGCAUAGAUAAAAUAUUUGGAAGAAAAGAUAACAAGAGUAGAAAAGAGUUUCUUAGGGGGAGGAAGUGAAUUCAUGGGAAGGUACAGAGGGCAGAGAUGUUUCUGGAUCCUGUGUGCUACUUCACCCUGGGAAGGUGACACAAUUGCAGAUGUUUUUGUGAGACUUGGGAGCAGAAAAGACAUGUUCUUUGCAUCCUCAGUGAAGCCCCAGAGAAGAAAUGGGUGCAUAAUGGGUCCCCACUGAAGAGAACAUAGGCAGAUGUGCAAAGUUUUCCAUGCCCCAGUGAGAAAGAAGCAUGUCUCUUCAUGCCCAAGAGCACAUCAGAGAAAUGGAGAGUGCUCCUGAAUCCGAAAGGGUCACACAGUCAAGAGUGAAGAAUGUCUCAAUAAAUACCAGUGUGGAAGAAUGAUCUUGAGGACCACAUCCUUCACUCUCUCUCCUUCCCCUCUCCCUUUCUGCACAUCUUGCAUCUCAGAAGCCCCCUCCCAGAAACUAGAUACAACUCCAGGGAAAGGUGAGGUCGAAAUCCACAAGUUCACUGAGAUAAAGUUUCUGACAAUGCAAAGAAAGGGAGGCUUGAAAUCAAAAUUAGUUUCUAUUUCUUACAUAAAUGUCUGGACUAGAAUUGUGUCCACUGCUCAGAUCUUACUUAUAUUCAGGGAUGACAUAUCUCAUGGAAGAACAGGGCUCAAUGAGCCACUUAAAUGUCUUCCUAACAAAUGUUAAGGUUCUAGAAACCAAAUGGUGGGUAUAUUAUCCAACAUAUGCCGUGAAAGCAGAGCCAAUCCUGGGGGAAAGCUUCUCUCCUAAUGGUAAGGUGUCCAUAUUCUCUGCCCCAAGAACCAAGAUAAGUGAUCUGAGAAGUGUGAAGACUGCUUUUCAACAUGAAAAAGAGUUUUCUUAAACUCAAGCAUGAUAUUAGCUCUACUUUGAAUAUCAGUUACGAAAAUUCAUAACGAGCUGAGGUAUCUUCACUAACGUUGCAAAUUAAUUUCUUGUAUUCAUCACAAUGACAUUUAUGUGUAUUUGAAAAGUAAUCCAUAUGGAUGAGCAUAUUUUUCAUUCACUCUACAGACGGAACAUGCACGCUGGUUUGCAGAUCCCUUGCAGUGACUCUACAGCUCCCAGGAAUCUGAGGUUCACAAGGUGAAACCUACCAGGCCGAACAAUUUAAAAUCGGUUUUGUUUUGAAAAUCCAAACACUGGAAGAUUCUCAAAUGCUAUAAACAAUACUCUUCUGAAACUCAUCCACCUCGUGGUAGCAGAAGCACACCAUGAGCACCAGCCAAUCUUCCUGAAAUUAUGUUACCAGAAAACGUACGUGGUGGAGAAUUUCCUUGGACUGGAUGUUUCUUGCUCACUUGAAUUUUAAGAGAAACUUUCCCAAGGGGUCCAGACAAGUGCUGUUUUGCUCUAAGUCUCUGUAUGCAGCAACAUUGGUUGUUUUCAUCAUACCUAUACCUGGUAAGCGGCAGCAUUGCUCUUCUGCAUGAUAUUAGUACUUUCCUACUGUGGUUGGACUUCUCCCCUUGCAACUCCUGCUUCUCCAUGAUGUGACGCAGGUUGAAUGAAGGAGCAUGGGGCUCUCCCAAUCAGAGACACCUGAGACUGGCCCCAAAUCACCUUGCCCAGGGAACAGAAGAAGCAGAUGCCUACGGUGUGGAGCAAUGCCCCACAUCUGCGCAAUUCCAAAUUCCAUGGCCACCCAGUCUUCAUUUCCUUUCCUGAAACUGCCUGUGAGCUCUAGUAAGAUGGAGACUCCAAACUUAGAAAGCAGAUGCCUGGGGAGGUACUCUGUGCAGAAACUGGACUCCCUGAGGUUCUGCCUCCUAGGGGUUUGGCCUGGAUUUUCUAGGACAACUCACUGCACUGGGGAAAAUGAGCUCAUCUGGUCACUGAUCAGACAGAUGUCAGUGACUGAUCAGGAGUGUCAAGGACAAUUCCCCAGAAAAUGGCUGCUGUUCCCUGUGGCUUUGGUGGCAGUGCCACACAGAUGGGUCAGUCUACCUGGUAGCCUUCUCAAAUCCACAGAAUGUAAACACCAAAAGAAGCCACAGUCCCUGGGACCUGCAUAGGAAAUGUCUCAGCAGGCAUCUGACCGGAUUAGAGUCAGCAGAGGAGAAUCUGUCAAAACAAAUCCUGUUUUGGAAAUGCAGGCCUAUUCUGGUAGGGUCCAUCCCAGGACCUAAGAGGGGAGGAAAAUUGGCUAAAAAGAGCAGGACUCACCCAAGAAGCUGUGAUGGAGGCACACCCAUGCUGCCCUGAUGGCUGGCUGGCACUGUAGAUGAGUUCCAGAUAGGUUACUGGCAAAGAAAAGAGCACUUCUUCCUGCUUUGCAUCGGCAACCUGUGCCUGGAUUAUGAGCUGCUGGAGCAAGGGUAGACUGGAAGGACACCAGGAGGUUUCUGCUGUCUGAUAACAUUCCUGGGGCUCAAGGAAUUCUUCCAUCCAGUCUCCUACUUCCAGGAGGCUUCCUCCCCUGGUUUCUCCCCAGGUACCAUGAUGGGCCUUUCCUUUGAUAUUGAGCAGCUAUUUCCACCCUGUCUUUGUCCAUGCCUCCAUCUUUGAGAGUUUGUUGUAUUCUUGGUUGACCCAGGUGAUCACAAUUGCCUGUUACUGACAAAUUAGAUUACCAUGCAAUAAGUACUCUAAGCAGAAGGUACAUAUGUUUGUUGUUACCAAGAAUGUCUAACUUAACUUUAAUCCAUAACAACUCGUGUUAGGGGAAAUGGCAUACCAGUUUUCCUUUUCAGAGAGUUUUCUUUAUCAUUGUUCAUUUUAUCUUUGUACCUCUUUGGACCACGUAGAGAUUAGUCAAAUUACCUGCAUUUGACAAACUAGAACAAUACAGCCCCAUAGUGACUUCUCUGAAGAAGCCCAGAGAAUUGGUGACAAAGCUGACAUCUGGUCUCCUGAUUUCCAUUCUGGGAUUCUUUCUACUGAUCUUUCUUAUUUCAUUUAUUCAAUGUACCAACUCAAAUGAAAACGUGCCUACUACAUGGCAUGGAAGAAACAGGCUUCUUGUCUUAUCUCGCAUAGUCUGCCCACGCAAACCAUCUGUCCAGCCAAACCAAAAUAGCACUGUGCUUCCAGCCUCUGCACCCUGGCUCCUGCCUUGUCGCUGGCUUGAACCACCCUCCCCCAACUCUCUGCUUAAUGAAACUUAAUCAUCCUUUAAUCCCAAGCUCAACUGUCCUGUCUUCUAUAUUGCCUUCCUGAUUAUUACAGCAGGAAGUAAUUUCUCUUGCUCGAAAUGCAGUUAAUUAAAAAAAUGGGCAAGUUUGGUGCCAUCAUACUCUGCCUUGGAUUAUAGUGUUUUGUUGGUGAAUUUUAUCUCCCCAAGUAAGCUGUGGGCCUGAAGAAGGCAGCAACUGUAUUUCACACAUCUUAGUAUUCCUCACAGUCUUGCGUAUGAUAUAAGCUAAAUAUUUAUUGAAUGAGUCAAUGAAAGUGAUUUUCAGUGUUGAGAGCUGAAUUCAGAACCCCAGAAUCUGAUCUCCAUGUUUCUUCUACCAAGUCGUUCUGAAAGCAAUGCGGUUUCUACUAUGAUUUGCCUCUUUGUAAGCCAAUCACGGUUGAAAAUAGGCUGUUUCAUAUGGUGCAGUCUAACCCAAUGCAUAUGGAACUGUUUGGACAGAAUUAAAUAGUUUAAAUGGC
Long non-coding RNA from Gorilla gorilla gorilla (western lowland gorilla), 11263 nucleotides. RefSeq lists it as uncharacterized. The transcript has 3 exons. Lineage: Eukaryota; Metazoa; Chordata; Mammalia; Primates; Hominidae. The record is from RefSeq and is a predicted model, not a curated record.